GAUGAAGAACGCAGCAAAAUGCGAUAAGUAAUGUGAAUUGCAGAAUUCAGUGAAUCAUCGAAUCUUUGAACGCACAUUGCGCCUGCCAGUAUUCUGGCGGGCAUGCCUGUUCGAGCGUCAUUUCAACCCUCAAGCACAGCUUGGUGUUGGGACUCGCGUUAAUUCGCGUUCCUCAAAUUGAUUGGCGGUCACGUCGAGCUUCCAUAGCGUAGUAGUAAAACCCUCGUUACUGGUAAUCGUCGCGGCCACGCCGUUAAACCCCAACUUCUGAAUGUUGACCUCGGAUCAGGUAGGAAUACCCGCUGAACUUAAGCAUAUCAAUAAGCGGAGGA
RNAcentral lists this unclassified non-coding RNA (332 nucleotides) under soil metagenome. RNAcentral describes it as "partial contains 5.8S ribosomal RNA, internal transcribed spacer 2, and large subunit ribosomal RNA". The stretch from base 1 to 120 matches the Rfam family "5.8S ribosomal RNA", at positions 35 to 154 of the family's 154-position model. The record is from RNAcentral.